CGAGGGGAUGUCCAUUAAUACCGGACUAUUACGAGCCAAAAACCUAGCCCAACAAACAUGAAUUUUACC
RNAcentral lists this transfer RNA (69 nucleotides) under Rhaebo nasicus (Werner's toad). RNAcentral's name for it is "tRNA-Val". Lineage: Eukaryota; Metazoa; Chordata; Amphibia; Anura; Bufonidae. The record is from RNAcentral.